This 497-nucleotide ribosomal RNA is filed under the name uncultured bacterium. Its description in RNAcentral is "partial 16S ribosomal RNA". It matches the Rfam family "Bacterial small subunit ribosomal RNA", at positions 28 to 507 of the family's 1533-position model. The record is from RNAcentral.
GAUGAACGCUGGCGGCGUGCCUAAUACAUGCAAGUCGAGCGAACGGACGAGAAGCUUGCUUUUCUGAUGUUAGCGGCGGACGGGUGAGUAACACGUGGAUAACCUACCUAUAAGACUGGGAUAACUUCGGGAAACCGGAGCUAAUACCGGAUAAUAUUUUGAACCGCAUGGUUCAAAAGUGAAAGACGGUCUUGCUGUCACUUAUAGAUGGAUCCGCGCUGCAUUAGCUAGUUGGUAAGGUAACGGCUUACCAAGGCAACGAUGCAUAGCCGACCUGAGAGGGUGAUCGGCCACACUGGAACUGAGACACGGUCCAGACUCCUACGGGAGGCAGCAGUAGGGAAUCUUCCGCAAUGGACGAAAGCCUGACGGAGCAACGCCGCGUGAGUGAUGAAGGUCUUCGGAUCGUAAAACUCUGUUAUUAGGGAAGAACAUAUAUGUAAGUAACUGUGCACAUCUUGACGGUACCUAAUCAGAAAGCCACGGCUAACUACGUG